AGAGCAGUGAUUGGUCAGACCAUAGAUAAUAUAGAAGACAGCGCGCUAGCGUAUCUAGCCUGUGUAUAUCUAUGGUCGGCACGUCUGGUAGCAUCUGUGGCUGCUGUUGAUCUUGUUUUUGGAGUAAAACACGGUGGAAGCUGAAUUAGUGAGGAUGACUCCUGCUCCUGUCAUCUCUAAGCUCCUCACACAUCUUUACCUGCACAUGAGGAAAAUCACUCCUGUAGAAUGCAGAUGUUCAGAGGGAGAUGAUGCCACAUCUGGUCCAGCUGAUGGAAGGUCUUGAAGUUCUCUGACUGGCCUCGACUGAAGAUGGUCGUCUCACUGGAUUUAAGGUUCAGAUGCUCAGUAACAAACUCCACCAAUGAGCCAACAGGGAAGCUUUAGGUUUAUUAAAUGUUGCUAUGAAGGUUUCGCUGUUUUUCUUUGUGAAUGCAAUGUGCUCCAACUGAAACUUGAAUUAGAACUUAGAAGUAAAUCCUUCCAUCUGAAAGGAUCUAGUUACAUUAAUAACCUCAUAACAUUCUAAUUUUUAUUCCAGUCUUGGUUGAAAAUAGAAUCUCUGUACUGAUUCAGGUAAAAACUGAACUUCACAGCAUGUUGGAGCAAAACAACCAGAUGAAAACUGUGAUGGUGUUGGAUUGUCAGACCGUAAUGUUGCAGCUCAAAGCAGCUUUUCUAGCUCAGUUCAUUCUGACAUUCAGCUAUGAAUCAACACAGCAGAUGGUGAUCCAUGCUGUGGAAGUCUCACAUCUCCUGAUUUAAUGCAGCUGCUUUGCACUUUUUACACUGUUUAUUCACCAACACUUUAUUUAAUAAAAGUCCCAUCUAGUUUUUA
Amphiprion ocellaris (clown anemonefish) is the source of this 838-nucleotide long non-coding RNA. RefSeq lists it as uncharacterized. The transcript has 3 exons. The record is from RefSeq and is a predicted model, not a curated record. Lineage: Eukaryota; Metazoa; Chordata; Actinopteri; Pomacentridae.